AUUGCAAUGAGCAAAUAGAUACUCGCUGCUACGCCAAACACUACUGUUCCAACUUUAGGCUUUAUAUUAAACAUCAUUUACGUACCAGCUUUCAGACAAGGGCAAGACUCGAAUUAAUGUUUGGUCAAGAACCCAAUCCAAGAGCCAACACAGCAACAACGUCUGGAGACUCUGUCUGCUUCAUUCAGCAAGUUCAAAACUAAUCCAACUUAAUUCAUUUUCAUCAUACAUCUAAAUAAUCCCAUUAUGCUUGCAAAUUUAUUAAAACAAAAAACAGACAAAUAUUAUAUUAUACUUACGGCUACAAAUUAUGAUCUAAUAUUUUUUAAGUUAUAGAAAAAACUAAAACGUUUUGGCUAUUCUAACUGUUAUAUAUUCUUCAACAACAACGAAAAAAAAAACUGUUAUAUAAUAUAUGCCAUCAUGAUUCAUUGCUUGAUAUUUGACCAAAUUUAGUAUGGUAAAAAUACCCCAGUCAUAAUUUUAAUUAUAUAUCUUCUUUUGCAUUGACUGAUUAUUUUUGAAAACUUUUCUUUUUCAAAUCCCAUUGUUUUAAAGAAUAAAAUCCUAUAAUAGGAAUGGCACCUCUUUUUUAAUUAUUCUACAUUGCAAAUCUAAUUUAGAGUUAAAAAGGUAAGACUUUAUUUUUUUAAUGUUGCCAAAACAAAUAUAAAAACAGUUACUCGCUUGCCCAUAAAGUUAUGGAAACAAAUGUAUUUCCGUUGACUGUGUUGUCUAAAUAACUACGUAACAUAUUUGUUUCUGUUCAAGAGUUAUACACUGAACAAAUAUGGCUAAGUCGUCUCCGGUGAAGAUACCGGCCACUAGUCUAGAGGAUUAUGCUCACAGUCCAUUCCAUUACGCCGUCGUUUUGGGAGACCACGUUGGUCUAACUCGUCUUGUUUCCUCCUUGCCUAAGCUAACCGAGCCAGAACAAAUACACACCGAGUCAGACUCCGCGAGCCAGGAGCGACUCGCCGAGCAAAUCUCCGCCUCCAUCGACCGCCGCGACGUUCCCUUGCGCGAGACGCCUCUCCAUCUAGCGGUUCGCAUAGGCGACGUUUUCGCCGCGGAGACGAUCUCCUCCGCCGGCGCCGACAUCACGCUCCAGAACGCCGCGGGAUGGAGCCCCUUGCACGAGGCGCUUUGCCGCCGGAACGCCGAGAUCACGGAGACGGUGCUCCGGCAUCAGCGCCGCUCGGCUUGGUGCAAAUGGAGACGGAGGCUGCCGCAUUUGAUCGCCGUCCUCCGCCGCAUGAGAGACUUCUACAUGGAGAUUUCUUUCCACUUCGAGAGCUCCGUGAUCCCCUUCGUCGGAAAGAUAGCUCCUUCCGACACGUACAGGAUCUGGAAACGCGGCGGAGAUCUGCGCGCGGACACUUCUUUGGCCGGGUUCGACCGGUUCAAGAUCCGCCGCGCGAGCCAGAGCUUUCUUUUCCUCGGAGACGGAGACGAGUUUCUCGACGUGGCUCCCGGUACGUUGCUUGUGUUGAACCGAGACGAUAAAACGAUCUCAAACGCGUUUGAAAACGCGAAUGAUCCGAUUAGCGACGGUGAGAUCGCCGGUUUUUGCUCUCGGACGAGCUUGUACCGUCCGGGGAUGGACGUUACGAAGGCAGAGCUCGUUGAGAUGACGAACUGGCGACGGCAGGUGAAGACUGAAACGGUCGGAGAGUGGAGAGCUAAAGGCUACGAGGUUGCGAACGUGAGUUUCAGUUUCAAGUCGAGGAGAGUUGUCGCUGUCGGAGAAACGGAGCAGAACUCGGCUUUGGACUGUAAGAAUAAUCGGAGUUUCUCAGAACCGCAGAGGAGGCCGCACGGUUGUUCCAACGCUGAGGAGAAAGAGUUUCAGCCGUCGUCGUCGUCGCGGAGGAGUAGAAAGUCGGUUUCUUUACCGGCGGAGGGGGUUUCGGUGGCGGGUUCGGUGCCGAGGAUCAAAGAGAAGGAGUAUGUGAAGAGUUUGAGUCCUUCGGUUUGGUUAACGGAGGAUUUUCCUUCGAAGACGGAGGAGCUGCUUCCCCUGCUUGAUAUUUUAGCCAAUCAUGUUAAAGCUGUUCGGAGAAUGAGGGAGCUGCUCACCGCUAAGUUCCCGCCGGGAACUUUCCCGGUAAAGUUGUCGAUACCGGUGAUACCAACGGUGAAGGUAGUCGUGACAUUCAGCAAGUUUGUGCCUCUCCGGCCGAUAGAUCAGUUCUACACACCGCUAUCAAGCCCGAGACACCUCUCGGCGGCAGUCGAAGACCAAUGCGACGUGGAGAGUGAGGAAACAUCCGACAUAGGAACGUCAACAAGUUCACGCUCAUCGUUUUCAACGUCGUCUUGGAGGAGACUGAGCAUCACAGGCACCGGGAAAAGUGCACAGCGACGGCUGGAGGAGGAGCAGGCACAAAUGGUGGAUCCCUUUUCGAUAGCGACAGGGUAUAAGUGGACGAGCAACUCAGAUAAAUCAGGUAAAAGAAUCACUCUAUCAUGUGGAUGUGCUCAAGUAGUUCUCCGGGAAAAAUAAACAUCUUGGGCUGAAAGUUCUAAUGGGCCAAUGUUUCAAGGGUAGAUCACUAAUAGACCUAUGUGUUUCAUUUUUGUUGUUGUAAACUCAUCAAAGGUUAAAUAAUUGAUCUAAGAUUCCAAGAUGAUUCUUAGAUCUUGAAUUAAUAAUUAAAUGAGAUGCAGGGAUGUUUUGUUUAUAGGCUUUUGAUAACCUAACUCUUGUUGAUUAGUAUCUGUAACAAAACUGUAGAGUAAAAUAAUAGAAUAAAAAGCAAAAACUAGAUGGGGUUAGGUUGUUUUUUAUAUAACCUGUUCCUUUUAUGCUUUUGGAAAAGUUGAAAGAUUCCAAACAACGUUUGCUUUGCAAGUUGGAAACGAACUAACAUGAGUUGGCAAGUCCAUUCCAAGACAACCCAAAUAAUCAUAUUUCAAUAUUUUAUAUAAAACAUAAAGACUUUAGGUUAAAGAUGACAACCUAAAUAUAUUGUUUACUAAUAUCUACACUCAGAAAUGAAAUAAAUUGACAACCCAUCCACUAUUAGUGUCUCCAUCCUCACAUUUCCACUUAUCUUGCUCAUUCAUCAUCGUUUAUUUCAUCUUUGCCAAGAAUUCGAGAAUGGCGAGUGAAGCACCGAGUUGGGCGGAUCAGUGGGGGAACGGAGGAAUUGGGGUGAUGGCAGCGAAGGAGGAGACCACUGACGGUAAGAAAGACGCCUCCGGGAAGAAGUCCAGCAAGGCCAAAGCAGGGUUUAACCGAGCUAAGAUGGUUGCAUUUAUUGGUGU
Molecule: RNA transcript, 3270 nt
Organism: Brassica napus (rape)
Lineage: Eukaryota; Viridiplantae; Streptophyta; Magnoliopsida; Brassicales; Brassicaceae
Gene name: ankyrin repeat domain-containing protein 13C
Exons: 4
Source: RefSeq, a predicted model, not a curated record